GAAUUUUUUGUCAUCUUCCCACAAAAGUAAAAGGACAAUGACAACCUAACUAUUUUAGCUGAGGGCACAAAAGGCUGUGAUGAAUACAGGGUUUUUUUUACAUUUUAGCAGAGAUUUUCUCCUCAAUGCUUCAACUCGAAGAAGGGGUCCAAAAUCUGUGCGAGGACACUGUGAGGGGUCUGCAGAGAUAAGCUUCAUCUUGGUAGCAGUGAGAAUGAUUAUGGGGAAGGACAUUGCAUCAGGAAAGCCCUGGGAGUCUGAUAACUGAAGACGCGCAGUGAUGGAAAGAGGGAUACCUAAAAUGUCAGAGUGGGCUCCACAUCUAAAGUGGGGCUUGAACUCACAACCCCGAGACUAAGAGUCACACGCUCCACCGCCUGAGCCAGCCAGGUGCUCCUGCCAGUCUGACUUUUCAUAAGAAAGGGCAAAAUGAAAAAUUUUGUCUUUAACCAAUAAAAGGCAUUCUGACUGGUACAUCUAAAAUAUAAUUAUUUCACAGUAAUUUUUCUAGGAGUUAGAUAUAACUCGGGUGCAGUAUUUCUCCUGUUCCUUUAAAUAGUGAUUUAUUUAGAGGAAGUAACAUUGGCAGCAAAAGCUCUAGUUUUCUCUGGGGGAAUAGUGUUGGUUGGGGAGGACAGAGAAGGAGAGGGGAGGAGAGAAGAGGGCAGGUUAAGAGAACCAAAGCAGAGCUGAAACCAUAGCAAAAAUCUGCUAGGAUAGGUCUAGCAGAAAACCAAAAGC
Molecule: long non-coding RNA, 741 nt
Organism: Ailuropoda melanoleuca (giant panda)
Lineage: Eukaryota; Metazoa; Chordata; Mammalia; Carnivora; Ursidae
Exons: 3
Source: RefSeq, a predicted model, not a curated record